Molecule: transfer RNA, 72 nt
Filed under: Stegodyphus mimosarum
Lineage: Eukaryota; Metazoa; Arthropoda; Arachnida; Araneae; Eresidae
Rfam family: tRNA
About the family: Transfer RNA (tRNA) molecules are approximately 80 nucleotides in length. Their secondary structure includes four short double-helical elements and three loops (D, anti-codon, and T loops).
Source: Rfam by way of RNAcentral
GCAUUCGUAGUGUAAUGGUCAGCACACUCGGCGCGUAUUCGAGAGGUCCGAGGUUCGAGUCCCGGCGAGGUA